RNAcentral lists this ribosomal RNA (492 nucleotides) under uncultured bacterium. RNAcentral describes it as "partial 16S ribosomal RNA". It matches the Rfam family "Bacterial small subunit ribosomal RNA", at positions 29 to 507 of the family's 1533-position model. The record is from RNAcentral.
AGUGAACGCUGGCGGUAGGCCUAACACAUGCAAGUCGAACGGCAGCACAGUAAGAGCUUGCUCUUACGGGUGGCGAGUGGCGGACGGGUGAGGAAUACAUCGGAAUCUACUUUUUCGUGGGGGAUAACGUAGGGAAACUUACGCUAAUACCGCAUACGACCUACGGUUGAAAGCAGGGGAUCUUCGGCCCUUGCGCGAUUGAAUGAGCCGAUGUCGGAUUAGCUAGUUGGCGGGGUAAAGGCCCACCAAGGCGACGAUCCGUAGCUGGUCUGAGAGGAUGAUCAGCCACACUGGAACUGAGACACGGUCCAGACUCCUACGGGAGGCAGCAGUGGGGAAUAUUGGACAAUGGGCGCAAGCCUGAUCCAGCCAUACCGCGUGGGUGAAGAAGGCCUUCGGGUUGUAAAGCCCUUUUGUUGGGAAAGAAAAGCAGCAGGUUAAUACCCCGCUGUUCUGACGGUACCCAAAGAAUAAGCACCGGCUAACUUCGUG